AGUUGCGAUCAUACCCGCACUAAUGGACCGGAUCACAUCAGAACUCCGCAGUUAAGCGAGCUUGGGCGUGAGUAGUACUAGGAUGGGUGACCCCCUGGGAAGUCCUCGUGUUGCAACCC
This 119-nucleotide ribosomal RNA is filed under the name Helianthus annuus (common sunflower). The record is from RNAcentral. Lineage: Eukaryota; Viridiplantae; Streptophyta; Magnoliopsida; Asterales; Asteraceae.